RNAcentral lists this ribosomal RNA (493 nucleotides) under Mycoplasma mycoides. RNAcentral describes it as "partial 23S ribosomal RNA". It matches the Rfam family "Bacterial large subunit ribosomal RNA", at positions 33 to 526 of the family's 2925-position model. The record is from RNAcentral. Lineage: Bacteria; Bacillati; Mycoplasmatota; Mollicutes; Mycoplasmatales; Mycoplasmataceae.
UUGGAAAAUGGAGCCGAAGAAGGACGUGACUACCUGCGAUAAGUCUGGGGGAGCUGGAAGUGAGCUUCGAUCCCGGAAUUUCCGAAUGGGGAAACCUGACAUGAUUUAUCUCAUGUUAUCUAUAAGUGAAUACAUAGCUUAUAAGAAGGGAACCUAGGGAACUGAAACAUCUUAGUACCUAGAGGAAAAGAAAAUAAUAAUGAUUCUGUUAGUAGCGGCGAGCGAAAGCGGAACAGGCCAAACCACUUUACGGAGUGGGGUUGUAGGACUUUUUUAAGAGUUAGAAAGUCAUUAUAUAAUAGAAGCUACUGGGAAGUAGCGCCAUAGAGGGUGAUAGCCCCGUAUAUGAAAUGUAAUGACCUCAAUAAAGUAUCCUGAGUACGGCGAAACACGUGAAAUUUUGUCGGAAUCUGCCAAGACCACUUGGUAAGCCUAAAUACUACCAUUUUACCGAUAGUGAACCAGUACCGUGAGGGAAAGGUGAAAAGCACCC